UUCACAACACGCUAGCGGGUGUUAGCACGCUAGGCUAACUUGACGUUCACUAACAGCAACAGCAGCCCGACCAGAAGAACGAGUGCCUCCACAGCACACCGCCGCCGCGCCCCUCUCAGCUGCCAACACUCCCGCUCUGCGGACCCGUCCACCCCACAGACCAAGCAUUGAGGCAGAGAGGAGGAGAGCCAGCCCCACUGCCGCGUCACAUCAGCGCCCCUCCGCACGGCUCUGGGCAGGAGAACAGGAGGACAGGCUACUGCUCCACUCUUCAAAGUCCCUGCCUCUGCGAUGACAUCCUCAACAUCGCGUGAGCCACAUUACACAAGCCAUUUCGUUUUCUACAUUGUGCAGUGCUGCAGGUUGCGGAUGGCACCGUUCUGAGGCUGCUGCCACUGCUGCGUCACUCCGGCUGCAUCACUGACCCACAAAGAGGAGAUGGGAAGGAGGGGUUGGCUUAGUCAAUGCGCGGAGGCAAAGGGAUACAUGGAAAAUAAACACCCCUGCUCUGAAUGAGUACAGCAAACAAGUGGACAUGAGGCUAUUCUCCCUCAGCUUGCGGCCGAGUUGCUGCUGUGGUAUUCAGGAAAUGGGACUGGGAGACAGAUCGCUCAUUGUUACGUAAUGAAUAUUUUUCCUCCGAGACUAGACUCAGCUGAGAAGGCGGUAUCCAAUGUUCAGAGGCUAAUAAUAGGCCAUAGUCCACACAAGACCAGUCAGGUUGCUGGCUGUGGACGUUCGCUUUUUCUAUCAGACACAGUGCUAACAAAGGACUGAAAAUAAGU
Periophthalmus magnuspinnatus is the source of this 785-nucleotide long non-coding RNA. RefSeq lists it as uncharacterized. The record is from RefSeq and is a predicted model, not a curated record. NCBI's taxonomy places the organism in Eukaryota, Metazoa, Chordata, Actinopteri, Gobiiformes, Gobiidae. The transcript is spliced from 4 exons.